ACAGAUAUGGCCGAGUGGUUAAGGUGACUGACUUGAAAUCAGUUUCCAUCUUGGAGCGUAGGUUCGAAUCCUACUAUCUGCG
Molecule: transfer RNA, 82 nt
Filed under: Daphnia pulex (common water flea)
Lineage: Eukaryota; Metazoa; Arthropoda; Branchiopoda; Diplostraca; Daphniidae
Rfam family: tRNA
About the family: Transfer RNA (tRNA) molecules are approximately 80 nucleotides in length.
Source: Rfam by way of RNAcentral